AUUGAACGCUGGCGGCAUGCCUUACACAUGCAAGUCGAACGGCAGCACGGGUGCUUGCACCUGGUGGCGAGUGGCGAACGGGUGAGUAAUACAUCGGAACAUGUCCUGUAGUGGGGGAGAGCCCGGCGAAAGCCGGAUUAAUACCGCAUACGAUCUACGGAUGAAAGCGGGGGACCUUCGGGCCUCGCGCUAUAGGGUUGGCCGAUGGCUGAUUAGCUAGUUGGUGGGGUAAAGGCCUACCAAGGCGACGAUCAGUAGCUGGUCUGAGAGGACGACCAGCCACACUGGGACUGAGACACGGCCCAGACUCCUACGGGAGGCAGCAGUGGGGAAUUUUGGACAAUGGGCGAAAGCCUGAUCCAGCAAUGCCGCGUGUGUGAAGAAGGCCUUCGGGUUGUAAAGCACUUUUGUCCGGAAAGAAAUCCUUGGCCCUAAUACGGUCGGGGGAUGACGGUACCGGAAGAAUAAGCACCGGCUAACUACGUG
This 486-nucleotide ribosomal RNA is filed under the name uncultured bacterium. Its description in RNAcentral is "partial 16S ribosomal RNA". It matches the Rfam family "Bacterial small subunit ribosomal RNA", at positions 30 to 507 of the family's 1533-position model. The record is from RNAcentral.